UUCACUUUCAUCCUUAAAUUUUUUUCCUCCCAAUUCCGUCCUUCAACCCUCGAAAAUAUAUUCCAUUUUCCCUUGAAUGAUUCCCACCACACUUCACACUUCAGGUAAACCCUAAAUUCGACCGAUAUGACCACUUGAUUUGCCUACUCUGGCUUAAUCUUGAAACAAUCAUGAUUUUCAUGGGUCAAGACAGAGAAAUCACAUCAAUGAAGACGACAUAUUGUAUCUACUUUCUCUGAGACCUUUUAACAAACACAUUUUUUGCAGCCUCUAAGGGUGUUUCUCCAGUCACAGAAAGUGACACGUUUUUUCCUCCACUGAAGCACUAUUUGCCUCGUGCGUCAAUGUUAAAAGAUGCUGGCAAUUAUCUUGUAGAUUGAAGUUGCAUGUGCAUAGCUCAUGUCUGGUGAGAAACUAGAGAACCAUAUAGAUAUGUCAAGAACAUCCUUGUUGACAUGGGGAUUUACUUUCAAGUACAGGUAAGUUUCUUUUCAGUAUCAUAAAUUAAAGUCCAUAUUAUAUAUCAUUUAGUUCUCUUUAUAAUUUUUUGUUUGUUGUUAGCUGUGUUACUUUCAAAGUUUAAAAAGCUUGUGUAGUUUUGGUGCAAGAAAUUCAUCUCCUUGAAUGUUUCGAGUUGAUUCUAUAUGGCAAAAUUCAAAGCCCUCUACAAGGAGCUUAAUCUUGAGGGUGUAUUUGCUGAGUAUGAGAGGCAAAGCUACGAGAAACUCGUAACUUCCAUAGAAGCCCAUGCAAGCAAGGCAGCGCAAGCAUUGUAGAAGUCCUUUUUGGCUAAGAUACACAAGAGACAGAAGUAGAUAAUCGAUUAGAAUUUGGUGAAGGUUGGACUAGGUCGAAAAAGAACCUCACUUUCUGAUAUGUU
Tripterygium wilfordii is the source of this 880-nucleotide long non-coding RNA. RefSeq lists it as uncharacterized. Lineage: Eukaryota; Viridiplantae; Streptophyta; Magnoliopsida; Celastrales; Celastraceae. The transcript has 3 exons. The record is from RefSeq and is a predicted model, not a curated record.